Molecule: ribosomal RNA, 53 nt
Filed under: Candidatus Fermentibacterota bacterium
Lineage: Bacteria; Pseudomonadati; Candidatus Fermentibacterota
Description: Candidatus Fermentibacteria bacterium partial 23S ribosomal RNA
Source: RNAcentral
UGUGUAAGCACAGCAAUGUGUUCAGCUAAGCCGUACUAAUGGUCGAGGGCUUA